This is a long non-coding RNA of Erpetoichthys calabaricus (reedfish), 227 nucleotides long. RefSeq lists it as uncharacterized. The record is from RefSeq and is a predicted model, not a curated record. The transcript has 4 exons. Lineage: Eukaryota; Metazoa; Chordata; Cladistia; Polypteriformes; Polypteridae.
CUCAUCCUGUGAGACGAUCGCCAUGUUUGCUGUGAGAGCAGUUUGCCUCCUCGCCACCAUCGCUAUGCUUGCUGCAGUGGUUGAUCUGGACGCUGAGAACCGUGUCUGUUAUACUGGCUUCUGGUGUACAGACAACUAAAGAUGAAGAGAUGUCAAGCAUCCAUAGGAGACUUUAAUCACUAAAAACCCUGUGUAGUCAAUUUUAAUAAAAUAGUCAUGCAUACCUA